RNAcentral lists this long non-coding RNA (372 nucleotides) under Salvia miltiorrhiza (redroot sage). RNAcentral describes it as "long non-coding RNA (SMIL_LNC013759)". The record is from RNAcentral. Lineage: Eukaryota; Viridiplantae; Streptophyta; Magnoliopsida; Lamiales; Lamiaceae.
GAGAAAUCAUCAGUUAUCAAUUUCCAAAGCUAUAUGGCCUAUAUAUCCCCAAUAUGUCAACAUAUGACGAAAGCAAAUAAAUGAAUAAAUAUGUGCAAAUCAACCAAAAUUUGAUGUCUUUUACAUGAUUCUUUAUUUGGUAUUAAUUAAAACAGGAGAGAUAUAAUCAAUAAUAAAUAAAUUGAACACUGUGAUUACACCUCGAUUAGUUAACAAUUGAAUGAUUGCAAUAUAAAAACAAUUAACUGAUUAAUAAUUUUAUAUUGAAUACAAGCGAUGGGAUUUAAUUUACAAUUUUGCAGAAUGCUAUAUUUGAUCGAAAUUUUUAACCUAAAACUUAACUGCUUCACAUAUUCAAGUGUAAUCUUCAUC